CCCUGGGGUAGAGAGGCUGUUUCCAAAUAGACCCCCGGCUUCCUUCCCUCCAAGAACUUCCCACCUUUGCUCUUGGGGAGACUCGAACUCACAACCUCUUGGUUGGAAGUGGGGGUUGCUUACCAUCAGAGCAAGAUCAUCACAAACUGCCCAAGGACCUUCCAUCAAUCCCCUCACUGCACCAAUUUCUCUCCAUACGAUAUUCCUUUCAAUUCUGCAAUUUGGGGUAUACACUCCUGUUAUGUGACAUUGAAAAUUCUGUAAAAGAGCCUCGAACUUGCAAGUCAAAGUAUAUGCACAAGUUUGUAACAUCUCCCCUUUCCAU
This 325-nucleotide long non-coding RNA is filed under the name Nicotiana benthamiana. Its description in RNAcentral is "long non-coding RNA (NBEN_LNC029315)". The record is from RNAcentral. Lineage: Eukaryota; Viridiplantae; Streptophyta; Magnoliopsida; Solanales; Solanaceae.